CAGCAGCCGCGGUAACACGUAGGUGGCAAGCGUUGUCCGGAAUUACUGGGCGUAAAGGGCGAGUAGGCGGCCAUGCAAGUCAGAUGUGAAAGGCUAGGGCUUAACCCUAACAUUGCAUUUGAAACUGUGUGGCUUGAGUACAGGAGAGGGAAGCGGAAUUCCUAGUGUAGCGGUGAAAUGCGUAGAUACUAGGAGGAACACCAGUGGCGAAGGCGGCUUCCUGGCCUGUAACUGACGCUGAGGCGCGAAAGCGUGGGGAGCAAACAGGAUUAGAUACCCUGGUAGUCCACGCUGUAAACGAUGGAUGCUAGGUGUGGGAGGUAUCGACCCCUUCCGUGCCGCAGUUAACGCAUUAAGCAUCCCGCCUGGGGAGUACGGCCGCAAGGCUUAAACUCAAAGGAAUUGACGGGGGCCCGCACAAGCAGCGGAGCGUGUGGUUUAAUUCGAAGCUACGCGAAGAACCUUACCAAGGCUUGACAUCCCUCGCUAUUUGUAGAGAUACAAAGUUCCCUUCGGGGACGAGGAGACAGGAGGUGCAUGGCC
RNAcentral lists this ribosomal RNA (543 nucleotides) under uncultured archaeon. RNAcentral's name for it is "bacterial SSU rRNA". It matches the Rfam family "Bacterial small subunit ribosomal RNA", at positions 509 to 1050 of the family's 1533-position model. The record is from RNAcentral.